UCCCUUUAGCGAGACUGCCGGUAAUAAACCGGAGGAAGGUGGGGAUGACGUCAAAUCAUCAUGCCCCUUAUGACCUGGGCUACACACGUGCUACAAUGGUUGGUACAACGAGUCGCAAGCCGGUGACGGCAAGCUAAUCUCUUAAAGCCAAUCUCAGUUCGGAUUGUAGGCUGCAACUCGCCUACAUGAAGUCGGAAUCGCUAGUAAUCACGGAUCAGCACGCCGCGGUGAAUACGUUCCCGGGCCUUGUACACACCGCCCGUCACACCACGAGAGUUUGUAACACCCGAAGUCGGUGAGGUAACCUAUUAGGAGCCAGCCGCCUAAGGUGGGAUAGAUGAUUGGGGUGAAGUCGUAACAAGGUAACCGUAA
RNAcentral lists this ribosomal RNA (372 nucleotides) under uncultured bacterium. RNAcentral describes it as "bacterial SSU rRNA". It matches the Rfam family "Bacterial small subunit ribosomal RNA", at positions 1135 to 1505 of the family's 1533-position model. The record is from RNAcentral.